RNAcentral lists this ribosomal RNA (446 nucleotides) under uncultured bacterium. RNAcentral's name for it is "partial 16S ribosomal RNA". It matches the Rfam family "Bacterial small subunit ribosomal RNA", at positions 338 to 795 of the family's 1533-position model. The record is from RNAcentral.
CCUACGGGGGGCAGCAGUAGGGAAUUUUCGGCAAUGGGGGGAACCCUGACCGAGCAACGCCGCGUGAACGAAGAAGGUAUUCGUAAUGUAAAGUUCUUUUAACAGGGAAGAAAGAGAAAUUUGACGGUACCUGAAGAAUAAGCUCCGGCUAACUACGUGCCAGCCGACGCGGUAAUAUGUAGGGAGCGAGCGUUAUCCGGAUUUAUUGGGCGAAAAGGGUGCGUAGAUGGCAUAGUAAGUCUGUUGUAAAAACGCUGGGUUAAACCCAGGAGGGCAAAAGAUACUGCAAAGCUAGAGUAUGACAGAGGCAAGUGGAACUACAUGUGUAGCGGUGAAAUGCGUAAAUAUAUGUAAGAACACCAGUGGCGAAGGCGGCUUGCUGGGUCGAUACUGACAUUGAGGCACGAAAGCGUGGGGAGCAAACAGGAUUAGAUACCCUUGUAGUC